GAUGAAGAACGUAGCGAAAUGCGAUACUUGGUGUGAAUUGCAGAAUCCCGUGAACCAUCGAGUCUUUGAACGCAAGUUGCGCCCGAAGCCAUCAGGUUGAGGGCACGUCUGCCUGGGCGUCACAUAUCGUUGCCCAAAGCCUAUUGCAGUGCAAUAGGAAUUUCUAGGGCGAAUGAUGGCUUCCCGUGAGCGUUGUUGCCUCGCGGUUGGUUGAAAAUCGAGGCCUUGGUAGGGUGUGCCAUGGUAGAUGGUGGUCGAGUUAGAACGAUACCGAUCAUGUGCAUGCUCCCCAAAAUAUGGCCUCUAUGACCCACACGCGUCUUUUGACGCUCAUGACGAGACCUCAGGUCAGGCGGGGCUACCCGCUGAAUUUAAGCAUAUCAAUAAGCGGAGGA
RNAcentral lists this unclassified non-coding RNA (395 nucleotides) under soil metagenome. RNAcentral describes it as "partial contains 5.8S ribosomal RNA, internal transcribed spacer 2, and large subunit ribosomal RNA". The stretch from base 1 to 122 matches the Rfam family "5.8S ribosomal RNA", at positions 35 to 154 of the family's 154-position model. The record is from RNAcentral.